RNAcentral lists this ribosomal RNA (254 nucleotides) under uncultured bacterium. Its description in RNAcentral is "partial 16S ribosomal RNA". It matches the Rfam family "Bacterial small subunit ribosomal RNA", at positions 524 to 777 of the family's 1533-position model. The record is from RNAcentral.
UACGAAGGGUGCAAGCGUUACUCGGAAUUACUGGGCGUAAAGCGUGCGUAGGUGGUUCGUUAAAUCUGAUGUGAAAGCCCUGGGCUCAACCUGGGAAUGGCAUUGGAAACUGGCGAUCUAGAGUGCGGUAGAGGGUAGUGGAAUUCCCGGUGUAGCAGUGAAAUGCGUAGAGAUCGGGAGGAACAUCUGUGGCGAAGGCGACUGCCUGGACCAGCACUGACACUGAGGCACGAAAGCGUGGGGAGCAAACAGGG